Molecule: long non-coding RNA, 3811 nt
Filed under: Sus scrofa (pig)
Lineage: Eukaryota; Metazoa; Chordata; Mammalia; Artiodactyla; Suidae
Description: lncRNA (ENSSSCG00060068706.1)
Rfam family: HOXA11 antisense RNA 1 conserved region 6 (bases 451-632)
Source: RNAcentral
GGGGGCGAGUGGGGGUGCUGCUGUGAAGACAGAUGAGGAUAAAGGCUUUUGAUGCCAGAAGAGAAAACGCCCUGAGCAGCGAAUGCUUUUAUUUCCCCAGCAGAGACAGGAGGGGGUGCUCAGAUCCCCAAGGCUGCGCACCGUUCCUAGCUUUGCCUGCUUCUGCCCCUCUUGCCUGGAAUAUACUGGAGGCACGAGUGUGGUUUUAUUUGUGUGGAGGGGGGGUAUUUGGAGGAGGCCCAACAGCCAAGCUGAGCCCACUCGGCUCCACGGACGAUCCGAGGGGGGCGAAGCCUGCCCUGGAAGGCCAAGUGUGAGUUGCAUUUUUUGAAGAAUCCAAGACAGGCAAGGCUGUGACAUUGGCCCUGGAGACUGGUUUCCCACGAACCGUUCUUUCUCAGGAGCUCCUCAGUGCGGGGCCGUCUCCAGAAAACAGUCUCCAGUGUGUAUUUCCUUUUAUCGUCCACCCGGAGCCCCACGGCAGCUAAUGCUAGAGGCCAAAAAUGUUUUGGAGGAAGAAAAACAAAGGCAGGAAGUGGCGGCAGCCUGACGGUGCGUGUGUGUCUGCGGAGACGAAGGGAGGGAGCUGUUUCAAUCUCUUCUUGUUUUUCCAAACUUGAAGGUCUAGGCUGCCCUCGAAGAGCCGGCCCUCGCUCCCCGGCGCAGCGUUUGGAGAUGGCCACCCGGAGAGGAGCAGGCUGGCGCCCGAGCCAGCCUUGUCAGGCGGAAACGGCUAACGAGGCGAUUUGCUCAGCAAAGCAGACCAAGCCAUUCUCAACUUCGUUUGAUUUGGCCCUAAAAGUGGGGGGUUGGGGGAUUCUGCAGCGUCUCCUGGACCCUCCUCUGCGGGCAGGCUGAGUGCGCCUUGGCGGAGAUUGGUGAGCCCUGCGAGCCAUGCUCCAUGCACCCUUCCAGGCAGGAUAUCAUAUCGGAAUAAAGUGUGUCCAGGUGCCUCUGCCCAGCACUGCUGCCUCCCCUUCUUCUUGCAGCCGAAGGGUCUGGGCAGCAGCCUGAGGGCGCCUGCUUGCGGUGCCCUGGCUGAAGAGCCUUGGCGUGGAUAGUGUGCGCUAGGGUGAAGUAAGCCUUUUCACCGGGGUUGUUGUGCUGGGGAGCUCUUUCCAGCAUAGUCACUCAAGGGACAUGAGCAGAACCGACUGUCACUUGAUAGGCAGCUUAAUAAUACCCACUCACUCUGAGGGAGGAUAGGGCUGGGGGCAGGGAGCGCCUCCAGACCCCAGGGGUUCCCGAGCCCAACUGGCUGUGCUGCUUGGCUGCCCUCUUCUCUCUUUGGGGCUGGCGUGGACUCUGGCAGUGGUUCAUUGUCCCAGAAUCUGAGACUCCGAAGUCCCCAGUGUCUGCACCUUCCAGCCCUUUGACGGCUCAGUGCACAACCCCUAACACGAGUGCCCACAGCGGGCCACCCGCUCACCCCCUUUCCUCCCUAGGCUUCCUUCUCCAUCUCCCUGCGGCUCUGGCUUGCCUGUCUCCCGCCCCUUUCCAGCCGAGUUUUCCCUUGUGCAGGCUCCUGCCUCUUCUGAUACCCUCCUAGGCUGAGCAAGAGCUAAGGGGCCACUGGGGGGCACCCAGUAUGAAAACACAGAGAAAGGGGUCUCCUAGGUUCCUGACUCUCCCCCAAUUCAGGCCUCCACCAGGGUCUGAACUACAUUGCUCAGCCUCACCUUCUUCUGAAUACUCCAUUCCAAGGCCCUGCCGGGUUCUUUCUCUCUCUCUCCCUCUCUCACCAAUACUUGCUCCUUCUCUUCUUGGGACUCAGGUCUUGCUUCCUUAGGCCUGGGAGGGGUUAGGGCCCACCUGACUGACCAAAAUUCACUCCCAAAGAUCUACAGUUGUUUAUCCGUGGAUUCCAUAGGGUACUAAUUUUUUUUUUUUUUUUUGCUUUUUCUUGCUGGUCUGAGCCCCUACCUUCCUCUGUCCCUAAGUGUCACACCUGUUUCUAGAAAGACCAUUUCAACCCUGGUGGUUGUCCUGUGCACAGGUGCAAGAGCCAGCCAGAGGGCUCAGGGCGGACACAGCCAUCAAGCCCUUCAUGGGGUUGGAGGCCAGGCCUCCAUUUGGGGGCUUUCUCCUUCCAAAAGGAGUCCUGUAGGUACAUCUGUCUGUUCUCCAUAAGCCUGGGGGUUGGGCUGUCUGAUAUUCUCAGGAGAUCUCCCAGUAUUUGUUCUCAGAAAAUGACCUAUUGGCAGGUCAUGAGCAACUUACCAAAUUUCCAGGCACUGUCUAGAGGUGGCCCUGGGGCUUUGAUGAAACAUCAAGAGACAUACCCCCGAUCACUACUAGGUAGAGGCAGGGGUUAAUUUUUCUCCUUGGCUUGACAAGGCACCUGUCCCACCUACAAGCUCCACUGCCCUUCUGUAAAGCAUGGGAACAGGUAAUGCCUUGAACUUGACCUUAUGAUUGGCUCUUAUCUGACUCACAGGUUCACUCUCCAAGGUUCAUAAACAUCUGAAGAAGUCCACAUCCUUCCCUUGGCCGCUUCAGGGUGGGGCAUAGGGUUAACAGAGGGUCUCAGAUACCCAAAGCAAUCUGGUUAUUAUUUAGUUUAGUGGGUCCCAAAGUGAUGGGAGAAAGAGGGUUACUUCCUUUGAGAAGAACUAUUUUUAUUUUUAUUGUUGGGGACUCAUUAAAAAUUCUUCCCCCUACUGAGUGGGAACAGAUGGGGGGGAGGGCAUUGAAGGGCAAAGUCCUGGCUCUCAGUAUCUGCCUUCCUUUCUCCUUGCAGCUUCGACCCGAGCGGGUUUCCCCAGCUAAGUGUGUCUGUGAUAAAUAGGACAAAAGAAAGUGACCCAACCAGAAGGCUAGCUCUGGUCCUCGGGGUCUUGGUCCCCACAGGAAGCUCCCAUACCCCAAGCUUCAGCUGCCACCUAGGGCCAUUCCCCAGGCUCCUUCAGGCCUACCCAGCCUGGAGCCAUGGCUCACAUUCCAGCCUCAAGAAAAGGGGACUCCUGUCCAGUCAAACCCUGUCCUGGGAGUCUCCCCCACAUGCCCUGAUAGGCAGUCCUGCGAAGGUGUCUAUCCACUGACAAGCCCUCUGGCUAUUGUCUUCUCAAGACGCUGCUCCACUCCUGCAGCCCUUGGGAUAAAGCCCAGCUUUUCUAUAUGCUGUGAAAAACAACAACAACAACAACAACAGCAAAAACCAGAUGAAAUAAUUUGUUGGGCCUCUUUGAUUCACCUGGAGCAAUAAGCUCAGGGGCAGAUGGGGUUGAAACCUGUUGACCCCUAGGCCUGAUGCGGUGACAUGCUGCAAGCAAGCUAUGGGCAGAGCGAAGGGGCGCUUACCCCUCCACAGCACAGGGAGGGGGUUCUUGGAGUCUGCGAAUCAAGAAUGGGGUUUUUUCUUUUCUUUCUUUUUUUUUUUUUAACCUUUGGCAGAUUUCACCUCACUUCUUAGGGCAUCAUUUAAGCAGGAGAAGGAACGGAAGAGCAUCAAAGUUCUCACCAAAGGCCUGCCAGGCACUGAGGGAACACAUCUGGACUCAGGGACCUCAGGAGAGGCUUCCAGCAGGUUCUCUGCUUCCCUAUCCUAUUCCCGGCCGGCUGGUCCCGCUGCCCCUACCAGGCCCCUUGUUUCUAUCAGAGCCCAGAGCUCGGAUCUAGCCGCCGCGUCCUUUCUCCCGAGCUUGCAGGCGUUACCUCUCACCCAGGCUAGGCCUCCGCGGGCUCAGCUCUUCCGGGACUCGACGGGGACAAAGCCGGGGCUACCCUCGGUUGCCGGAACUCCUUUUUAAUACGGCUAGGGGAGAAGGAAUUGAUAACCAAGAAAGAACUACUUUCAGUCUGAGAUCUCGGG